UAUUUUAAAACGGCCAGUUUCGAAAUAACCAAAGAAAACAACGAUUCUAAACCGGAACGUGCCUGAAGGAAUCAAUUGUAGUUCUCUUUUAUAGCGGUUUAAAAUGUAUCUGAAAGUAUAUACAGACGUUUGCAAUAAUUUAAUCACAGACGUAGAAAUAUAACCAAAAUUCACGACGACCAUUGCAUUGAUAGAGCAGUUGUUUAAAUAAAAGAGCAGCAUCAGUUUUGGAAAUGUCACAUUUUAUAUUUGUGUCAGUUUUUAGUUAAGUAUAUGGAAAACUACAAGCGGCGUGUAUUUCAGUAUGCUAACGUGACGUUUUUCAGCAGGUUUCAUUUGAUUUUAUGAAGCAGAAUUAGUUAACACUCAAUUCAACCCCUCGACAGCAGUUCUACUAAAUGUCCACACGAGGGCAGCAUUGGAUAGGAAAUGAAAGCUAAAGUCUCGUCUGUCUCCCUGAAGUUCGCUACCAAUUUUAAAGAGCUGAGGACAGCUCAGCCGGAGGCGUGUGUCUGUGUGAAACGACUUUAUUUAAUGUGAUAAGUUUGUGGAAGAAGGACGCCAUGUUAGGAGGCGUUUGCUAUUGUUUUACACAGACUACGAGGGACAGCGCUCGUUAAACCAGGUCUGUGAGGAUGAGAAGGUCUCCACAGUCUGGAGUCUGGUCUCUGACAGGCUCAACAUACCUGUCAAUCAACAGGGGACUCCUCUACAAAGGCAAGGUGCUGGCAGGUAGGCUGAACAGCACAGCACAGCUCACCCCUCCUCUCACGCCUCGCCUCACCCCGGGUCAGUGUGGCACAGCCUGCCUGCUCUUCUGAACAAACACUUCAGCCCUGCCGACGCAGUGAGAGUCUGGAGCAGCUACACAAGGAUUACGAGCGGAGGCUGCGCUUGUUGAGCCUGGAUGAUAUGGAGCGGCUGGCGACUCGCAUGCUUCACCCUGAGGCUGUGGAGUGCAUGGAGCUGUCCUUCCUGGACUGAGGAAUACUGCUGCUGCCCUCUCCACCUCUCCCCUCUCCCCUCUCCCCCCUCUUCUCCUCCCCCUCUCCCCUCUCCUCUCCUCUCCACCUCUCUCCUCCCCCCUCUCCCCUCUUCUCCCCCUCUCUCAUCCCAGGUGCAGCUGGGACAGGCCAGUGUGGACCUGUGAUAGUCAGGGAGGAGAGGUGCAGUCGGGACCGGCCAGUGUGGAGCUGUGAUAGUCAGGGAGAGGAGGUGCAGCUGGGACAGGCCAGUGUGGAGCUGUGAUAGUCAGGGAGGAUUACGAGCGGAGGCUGCGCUUGUUGAGCCUGGAUGAUAUGGAGGAGGCCAUCAGCAUAGCCACUGCGCCACCAGCUCCCACAGGAAAGCUUUGGUUCACACUAUAUAUAAGCUUAAUUAACACAUUCUUUGAAACAAGCAAAGAACUCACCUUGAUUUGAACCCAGUCCAUCUCACUUCCUUGGAGGAGUCUGCUUUUUCAUUGCCUUAUAUAAGAAAUUAACCAAGUCUUUGAAAACAAAGGAGGGACUCACCGGGAUUUGAUCCCAGUCCCCCAAGGUGGACAGCACAGCAUGCUAGUGAACUAGCCCACUGCACCACCUGUCUGCACGUGACAAUCUAGCAUUCCACAGAAGCCGUUAUAUCAUCCUCUUUAUAUUAUUAUUUGUAUGAUACCACUGACCCCUUGUGUUACGUAAACACAAGUCUAUCAAAAUGGGUAAAGUGUUUGAAAAUGAAAAGGAAACACCUGCCCAAAAUGGGUUUGAACCCGCUACCCAGGGAAUCAUGUGUCCCUGCUGUAUCAACAAAGCUAUCCAGCUGACUGGUGUUCCUGUUGUUUGAAACACAUUAUUACAUUUUGUGGUGAUGACCUGGGGGCUAAGGUGAUUCAGCUUUGUUUCAUUUGUGAUGAAAUGGAUUCAAAGCCAAACCUUAUAAACAGGUAAGUUUAACAAAAAUUUUGAAAUUGAUGGAUUAACACUUGUGCUUUACAUGUGACUUGAAGCAACAACCUUGGAAGUCAGAGUCCAGUGCUCUACCAACUGAGCCAGCCAGAGAUCUGCUCUCUCCUGCUGUCAAAUGACCUCCAGUACAUUAACUAAUGAUUUGUACAAAAUGCAGAUCAUUGGAAAUAUCCAAUAAAAGAGUCACUUCUAUCAGUCUGCAGCUUGGAUUUGAUCCCAGUCGCUCAAGGUAAAGAGCAUUUAAGCACAGGGACCGACCCAACUGCACCACCUACCAGCUGUCCCUGAUGUUAGGUUUACAUUGCCUACAAGGUAAAUUAAGCAACUUGAAAAAAAAAACCCAGAAAAACGCAUUGUGAACAGGGUUUGGACCACCAACCCUGGAAAUCAGGACCCUGUGCUCUACCAACUGAGCCAUUCUGCAAGCUGUACCACUGCACUCAUUUGUGACUUGAACUGGACUAAUGAUUUGUACAACACGGAGAUGAUUACUGCAUUGAAAAUAUCUAAAAUAAAAGAGUCACUUCUAUUGUAUUUUUGACAGAGUCAUACAAAUAUGGGCAGCAGUGUGGAGUAGUGGUUAGGGCUCUGGACUCUUGACCGGAGGGUUGUGGGUUGAAGCCCAGGUGGGGGACGCUGCUGCUGUACCCUUGAGCAAGGUACUUUACCUAGAUUGCUCCAGUAAAAAACCCAACUGUAUAAGUGGGGAAUUGUAUGUAAAGAAUAAUGUGAUAUCUUGCAACAAUUGUAAGUCGCCCUGGAUAAGGGCGUCUGCUAAGA
Long non-coding RNA from Acipenser ruthenus (sterlet), 2726 nucleotides. RefSeq lists it as uncharacterized. The record is from RefSeq and is a predicted model, not a curated record. The transcript is spliced from 4 exons. Lineage: Eukaryota; Metazoa; Chordata; Actinopteri; Acipenseriformes; Acipenseridae.